AACGCACCUUGCACGCGCUGGGGAACCAGCGCGUAUGCCUGUUUGAGAAUCGCCUACACCUUGGCCGCCAGCUGUGCGGCUGCGUUGGGGGUCAGGCCUUGGCGGUCCGUCCUCCUAAAUGGAGCAGUGGGGUCCUGCAGUGUCCUCUGUGUGCUGGAGACCGGUCGAGUCUACUCACGGGGGGCGCGGCAUGUGCGCUGGUCUUGGCUCUGCCUCGGCCUCGCCAGCCCCGCUAAGCGAAGCGAGCUGCAACGAGCAGCAAGCAAAACCACAACCACGGUCUCAAAUCAGGCAAGACCACCCGCCGAACUUAA
This 314-nucleotide unclassified non-coding RNA is filed under the name uncultured fungus. RNAcentral's name for it is "partial internal transcribed spacer 2". The record is from RNAcentral. Lineage: Eukaryota; Fungi.